AUGGCUGCUCCCAGGGUUUACAGCUCUCGGUGUCUCCAGUGAUUUCUUCCUAAAGCUAUUGCCACCAAGGAUAUAACAACAUGGCGAAGAGGAUGGGAUCUCUGUGCUGCCCCAGCAACAGAAGGAAGUAGAAGUUAAGGAGAGGAAACUGAUGCAAUGAUGCCAAUACCCUGAACAUUGCCCAGGACUGAUCGGAUUUAGAAUCCACAUCAUCCCUCCACCAGCAUUGGAUGCUACACCACGGUCUCACCCAGACCAGAUUUUCCAC
Long non-coding RNA from Mauremys mutica (yellowpond turtle), 268 nucleotides. RefSeq lists it as uncharacterized. The record is from RefSeq and is a predicted model, not a curated record. Lineage: Eukaryota; Metazoa; Chordata; Testudines; Geoemydidae. The transcript has 3 exons.